ACAUGACCCACAUAUUAACAAAGCACAAAUACUGAGGGACUACAUGACAGCUUUGGUGCACAACAUUGGACCAUCAUCACCAUUAUGGACCAAUUUAUCAAGCCAAAAUACUUCGAAAACAAUCAUAUCAGUGGACAUCUGUCCUCAGCAAGCAUCAAAUUCGGUGGAUUGUGGGCCUGCAGUUUGUUACAUCAUGAGGGCACAUGUAUAUCGUGAAGACAUUGUUGCCAGCCUAGAUCGCUUUGAAUGGUGUCAAAUAAGAGACUCAUUAGUACACCUUUUUCUGAACCACAGAAAGACAGUGCAAU
Non-coding RNA from Camellia sinensis, 308 nucleotides. The record is from RefSeq and is a predicted model, not a curated record. NCBI's taxonomy places the organism in Eukaryota, Viridiplantae, Streptophyta, Magnoliopsida, Ericales, Theaceae.